Long non-coding RNA from Octodon degus (degu), 487 nucleotides. RefSeq lists it as uncharacterized. NCBI's taxonomy places the organism in Eukaryota, Metazoa, Chordata, Mammalia, Rodentia, Octodontidae. The record is from RefSeq and is a predicted model, not a curated record. The transcript is spliced from 2 exons.
AAUGGCAGCAAUUUGUAACUUUCAGUAGCUCUCUAGGCCUAGGUGCCGCGGGAGAGAGGCACCCCCAGUCCAACCCUCAUUUGUCGGGGGGCGCCCGGUUCCGCAGGCGCUCCUUUCCCUUAACUUGCAGGCACCAGCGGGAUCCUUCGCCCACUCCUAUCUGGCCGCCACCGCCCCAGAGCGAGGAGGGCAGAGAGCAACCCUGACAGACAUCCAUCUCCCAGUCACCCCUUGCUACCAGCUAAGGCCAGCAGGGAAUGAGAGCCUGAGGACACUGGUAAAGUCUUUUUAUUCCCCAUUUCAUGUGCUGGCCAGAUGAACGCAAGGCUGAGUUUGACCAAGGCACUUGAGGAGAAAUCUCAAAGAAGAGCAAAGGAGCAACAUGAAAGGAACCUAAAUCCCCAGCUGCCAUACAGAGCAGAGUUGACUGUAUCCAAGAUUGCUUCCUUCCAAAAUGUUCUAUGAGAAAUAAAUCAUUUUCUAUUUG